CGUGUAGGCGGCUUGGUAAGUCCGCUCUGAAAGCCCGGGGCUCAACCCCGGGAGGCGGGUGGAUACUGUCAAGCUCGAGUCCGGAAGAGGCGAGUGGAAUUCCUGGUGUAGCGGUGAAAUGCGCAGAUAUCAGGAGGAACACCAAUGGCGAAGGCAGCUCGCUGGGACGUGACUGACGCUGAGAGCGAAAGCGUGGGGAGCAAACA
Molecule: ribosomal RNA, 206 nt
Filed under: uncultured bacterium
Lineage: Bacteria
Description: partial 16S ribosomal RNA
Rfam family: Bacterial small subunit ribosomal RNA
Source: RNAcentral